RNAcentral lists this ribosomal RNA (1369 nucleotides) under uncultured bacterium. RNAcentral describes it as "bacterial SSU rRNA". It matches the Rfam family "Bacterial small subunit ribosomal RNA", at positions 28 to 1381 of the family's 1533-position model. The record is from RNAcentral.
GACGAACGCUGGCGGCGUGCCUAAUACAUGCAAGUAGAACGCUGAAGAGAGGAGCUUGCUCUUCUUGGAUGAGUUGCGAACGGGUGAGUAACGCGUAGGUAACCUGCCUGGUAGCGGGGGAUAACUAUUGGAAACGAUAGCUAAUACCGCAUAAAAUUGAUUAUUGCAUGAUAAUUAAUUGAAAGAUGCAAUUGCAUCACUACCAGAUGGACCUGCGUUGUAUUAGCUAGUUGGUGAGGUAACGGCUCACCAAGGCGACGAUACAUAGCCGACCUGAGAGGGUGAUCGGCCACACUGGGACUGAGACACGGCCCAGACUCCUACGGGAGGCAGCAGUAGGGAAUCUUCGGCAAUGGGGGGAACCCUGACCGAGCAACGCCGCGUGAGUGAAGAAGGUUUUCGGAUCGUAAAGCUCUGUUGUAAGAGAAGAACGGGUGUGAGAGUGGAAAGUUCACACUGUGACGGUAUCUUACCAGAAAGGGACGGCUAACUACGUGCCAGCAGCCGCGGUAAUACGUAGGUCCCGAGCGUUGUCCGGAUUUAUUGGGCGUAAAGCGAGCGCAGGCGGUUAGAUAAGUCUGAAGUUAAAGGCUGUGGCUUAACCAUAGUAUGCUUUGGAAACUGUUUAACUUGAGUGCAGAAGGGGAGAGUGGAAUUCCAUGUGUAGCGGUGAAAUGCGUAGAUAUAUGGAGGAACACCGGUGGCGAAAGCGGCUCUCUGGUCUGUAACUGACGCUGAGGCUCGAAAGCGUGGGGAGCAAACAGGAUUAGAUACCCUGGUAGUCCACGCCGUAAACGAUGAGUGCUAGGUGUUAGGCCCUUUCCGGGGCUUAGUGCCGCAGCUAACGCAUUAAGCACUCCGCCUGGGGAGUACGACCGCAAGGUUGAAACUCAAAGGAAUUGACGGGGGCCCGCACAAGCGGUGGAGCAUGUGGUUUAAUUCGAAGCAACGCGAAGAACCUUACCAGGUCUUGACAUCCCUCUGAUCGCUCUAGAGAUAGAGUUUUCCUUCGGGACAGAGGUGACAGGUGGUGCAUGGUUGUCGUCAGCUCGUGUCGUGAGAUGUUGGGUCAAGUCCCGCAACGAGCGCAACCCCUAUUGUUAGUUGCCAUCAUUCAGUUGGGCACUCUAGCGAGACUGCCGGUAAUAAACCGGAGGAAGGUGGGGAUGACGUCAAAUCAUCAUGCCCCUUAUGACCUGGGCUACACACGUGCUACAAUGGCUGGUACAACGAGUCGCAAGCCGGUGACGGCAAGCUAAUCUCUGAAAGCCAGUCUCAGUUCGGAUUGUAGGCUGCAACUCGCCUACAUGAAGUCGGAAUCGCUAGUAAUCGCGGAUCAGCACGCCGCGGUGAAUACGUUCCCGGGCCU